Molecule: ribosomal RNA, 385 nt
Filed under: Deltaproteobacteria bacterium HGW-Deltaproteobacteria-17
Lineage: Bacteria; Deltaproteobacteria
Description: bacterial LSU rRNA
Rfam family: Bacterial large subunit ribosomal RNA
Source: RNAcentral
AUCCUGGGGCUGAAGCAGGUCCCAAGGGUUUGGCUGUUCGCCAAUUAAAGCGGUACGCGAGCUGGGUUUAGAACGUCGUGAGACAGUUCGGUCCCUAUCUUCCGUGGGCGUAGGAAUUUUGAGGAGAGCUGACCCUAGUACGAGAGGACCGGGUUGGACGAACCUCUGGUGUUCCGGUUGUUGUGCCACUGGCAUUGCCGGGUAGCUACGUUCGGACGGGAUAACCGCUGAAAGCAUCUAAGCGGGAAGCCCCCUCCAAGAUGAGAAUUCCUGUGACACAAGUCACCUAAAGGCCAGUCGGAGACUACGACUUUGAUAGGCAGGGUGUGGAAGUGCAGCAAUGCAUGGAGCUAACCUGUACUAAUCGGCCGUGAAGCUUCAUCAU